AGUGAACGCUGGCGGUAGGCCUAACACAUGCAAGUCGAACGGCAGCACCGUAAUUGCUUGCUCUUACGUUUUGCGAGUGGCGUACGGGUGAUGAAUACAUCGGAAUCUACUUUUUCGUGGGGGAUAACGUAUGGAAACUUACGCUAAUACCGCAUCCGACCUUCGGGUGAAAGCAUGGGAUCUUCUGACCUUGUGCGUUUGAAUGAGCCUAUUUCGGAUUAGCUAGUUGGCGGGGUAAAUGCCCACCAAGGCGAAGAUCCGUAGCUGGUCUGAGAGGAUGAUCAGCCACACGGGAACUGAGAAACGGUCAAGACUCCUACGGGAGGCAGCAGUGGGGAAUAUUGGACAAUGGGCGCAAGCAUGAUACAGCAAUACCGCGUGGGUGAAGAAGGCCUUCGGGUUGUAAAGCCCUUUUGUUGGGAAAGAAAAGCAGCAGGUUAAUACCCCGCUGUUCUGACGGUACCCAAAGAAUAAGCACCGGCUAACUUCGUG
RNAcentral lists this ribosomal RNA (492 nucleotides) under uncultured bacterium. Its description in RNAcentral is "partial 16S ribosomal RNA". It matches the Rfam family "Bacterial small subunit ribosomal RNA", at positions 29 to 507 of the family's 1533-position model. The record is from RNAcentral.